AAUGGUUGAAAUAAUGUGUUUUCUUUUCUUCAGUCUUCAUGUCUCCUUGUUGGCCAUCAGGAAAUCAGGAACUUGAGAUGAUCACCCAAGUAGCUGAGGCCCAGGGUUGCUGCCAGUCCUUAUCUUCUGCUGAGACAUCUGUCUUCAUUACCUCUUCGUCUAGGUACUCUGACCUCAAGGAUCCAGUUGGAGUAGAUUGCUGUUUAAGGUUUUCAGAGAUUUUUUUCCCUGGACAAAGCGACAGACCAUAUUUCCCAGCUUCCCUUGAGGUAUGUGUGACCAUGACACUGAGAUCUAGCCAACAUAAAAGGUCGGAGAUUAUGCAGUACUUCAAGAUCUGAACUAUAGAACCUCCUGUGUGCAAUCCUCCUUGUAGUGGGGAGGGCCACUCUACGGACUUCUUCUCUCACCCUGUGCUAUGUAUUCAAUUGAGUCUGAACCAUUAUACAUUUUUGUCUAUUUAUUUUAGAAUUAAACCACUUCACCAUUGACUUGGAAUAUGGUGGCACCACUAACGGAAGGAGUGAGCUGGGAAGAUGUUCCUUUGGGGUUUAGAGAAUACUAAAAGAGGGUGGAAAGUCUUAUAGGCAGCUGGUAGCACACAGCAGAAUCAAAGUGUAAGAGAAAGGACUCAAUAGUAAAUAGGGAUUUGUGAUUUGCAGAGCAAAGUUUGUUGACACUACAGAAUAGCAGAUUUCUCAGAUGAAGAAAGUGUAGAAAAACGAGUCGAGCACUGUAUCUGAAAUAUGUAUUCACAUUCUCUUAUCAUACAUGAAGCAUAAAAAUGUAAGAAUAAAUAUUCCUUAGCUUAUGUAAGAAGAGGAAAUAUUACCACCUAAACAAUACUGUUUUCAGCUUCGUGAACACAGUAUGUCUUUCCAUUUACCUAAAUUUUCUUUAAUUUUGUUCAACAAUGUUUUUCAGUUCUUAUACAUGUUUUGUACUUAAAAUUUAUCUAGAAGGGCUUUACUAUUUUUGAUGCUAUUGUAAAUUCAAAGAAGUAUUUCCUAGUAUUAAUUUUCAUAGUUCUGAAAAAUAAUUUAAAAAACAAAAACAUUAUUUACCUAUAUGAAUAUGUUCAAUUCUUGUGUCAAUUACUGCUGUUUUAUGUUUUGUCUUCCAAGUAAAACAACCAGCAUACUUCGCUAUAUAAAGAGAACAAUUGUUAAUGGUUUUAUGCUAACUUCUGUUACAUUUAUGUUAAUGUAAAUAUAUUUAUAUAUUUGUCAUAUUUAUAUAUCGAUUCAUGAAGUAGCUAGGAUAACUAAUCUUUGUUUUUCCCGUAAAAGCCUGUUCUGAUGACAUUUAUUUUGUGUUGCUUAUAUUCAAGUCUCAAAUUUUGAUAAAUAAAAG
This 1353-nucleotide long non-coding RNA is filed under the name Callithrix jacchus (white-tufted-ear marmoset). RNAcentral's name for it is "lncRNA (ENSCJAG00000070462.1)". Lineage: Eukaryota; Metazoa; Chordata; Mammalia; Primates; Cebidae. The record is from RNAcentral.